Triticum aestivum (bread wheat) is the source of this 3068-nucleotide long non-coding RNA. RefSeq lists it as uncharacterized. The record is from RefSeq and is a predicted model, not a curated record. Lineage: Eukaryota; Viridiplantae; Streptophyta; Magnoliopsida; Poales; Poaceae. The transcript is spliced from 13 exons.
CCAGGGCGGGGGAAUUGGUCCCUGAGCGUUUCCUCCUCACGUUCGCCCCCGCCGCUCUAGGGUUGUGCUCUUCUCUGGCGUCGGCACGUCGCCUUCAGCCCGAUCUCCGGUCGCCGUCCUCCACCGCGUCGGCGGCGGCGCCGUGGCGUGGCGCCACCUGCUGCUCCUCCUCACCGCCCAACUGCUCGCGCUCGCCCUCCUCGCGUUCACGCUCCAGUGCCGCCGUAGUGGCAUGGACGACGCCGGCUCCCCUCGCCUGGCCGUGCCGGCCCCGUCGAGGCUGCAGUCCCUCCACUCCUCCACCGCCUCCUGCGUCGAGGUGCUCGCCGCCCCCGCCGCCCCCGCCUUCCCCUACCUCCACGGCUGGUCCUUCCACUUCGACAUGCCGGACACACACCACCCCAAAGUACUACCUUUCCAAUCUCACCUCCGCCCUCUUCCUCGCCGGUCACCGGCCGAUGUGUUUGACCUGUGAAGCAGGAAGCUUGUUCAAUGAGAUAAAUCCCUGCCUCACGAUUUGCUUCGUGAAGGCCAGAAUUUCGCUCUUAGUUUGUCUACUAAAAAACCUCCAUGUGGGGAUAGAUGUCAUCAUAGAAUGCGUGCAGUAAAAUUAUUCUGACUGUAUUCUGUAUCAUUAUUUUGGUUAGUCUAAAAGAAAUAAUUUGGUUAGAUUUGUCUUGAAGAAUAGAUUCGACAUAUACUUCUAGGUUUUGAUACAGAAAAUAGAAAUUUGUUGCCAAAGCUGUGUAUGGAGACUAUUUCAGUAUCUGGAAGUACACUUGUGACCAGAGGGAUGGCCGCUGUUGCUGCCAACAUAGUGGCAGUGAGCGCAAUCUGGGAGUAACAAGCACACUAUUUAGAGGGGAUGGAGAGCUUUACAAAUGGGAAUGUUAGGUUAUUGAAGCAUGAACGCAGCAUUGUUGCAGAGGAUGAUCUUGACUGUCAGUGGUAGGAAGCCACUGGAGAGGCUGUUUCCGAGGUCUCCAACCGCCCUGCACUCACGGUCCAUCCAAUCGGUGUGCCACAGCUGAGGGAGGAUGAGACCCCCCCUCAAGGUGGGAGGCCUGGAUGGGCAGCGGUGCCAAACCCUCGAAUUGGCCCAUGGUUCCGUUUGAUGCAAAAGGUUGCUGCAGACCAAGGUCUUGUUCCAGAGUUUGAGGUGUGCGUGCAAACGAGCACCUCCGCAGGCCUGGACCGGAUCCUGACGUGGCUCUUCUACCACAAGGUCAUCGGCGUCGCACACUUUUUGCUCUUCGUCAAGGGCAAGGCCGCCAAGCCCAGCAUCGCGGGGGGGUGUGAAGGUGGUGUACAGGACCAAGGACCUUGAGGAGCAGCAGGCCAGCCGAAUCUGGAACGAAACCUGGCUCACAGGAUUCUUCUACAAGCCUUGCAACCACAAACUAUUUUUGAAGCAAGCACUCAACAUGGAGAUGGCCAUUGUGAUGGCCUGGGUAUUUAUGAAUCUGGCAUGGAUUGGAUAAUGCAUCUAGACACCGAUGAGUUGUUAUAUCCCGGUAGUAUUCCAUCAGAUGCCUGUUAGCUGACGUCCCUGAUGAUGUUGACAUGGUUAUUUUUCCUAACUAUGAAAGCAACGUCGAGCGUGAUGAUAUAGAAGAUCCAUUCAGUGAGGGUUCCCUGCCUUCGCCUCUACCAUCGCAGAAGCCGAGGGCACGCCGCCGCCUCUGCUGAUCCCUAGGGACGCCGCCUCCGUGGAUGAAGUGGUUCCAUUCGAUCGGUACACAAGAGGAACCCAUCUAUGGCCACAUCACCCCUGACAUGUUGAUGUGCAUGGAGUAUUCAUAUGAUACACAAGGACAGGAAAUCUAGCAAGCUGGCUGAGAAGUAGACAAGGGUCACGGUGAACUAUUACUAGCUUGAGGAGAUGCUCACAUGAAGACAUGGGUGCCGAAGGUUGCAUACAACUAAAUUGCCUCUGCUACCAUGUGGCAAUGCAACCAUGAAGGGCUUGACGUGUUGGCUGUCAAGAAGCACUAGGUCGACGGCAGGCAAGGCAUCCAGGAAGCCACAGCACGAGAGAGCGAUGACGCUCAAAGGGUGAGGUUGCCAAAUGGUGCGGUGACACUAGCUCGCUAGCCAAGCAGACUACAUUCCGGACUAUUUACACAUCAUGGACUAAAAUUGGACUAUUUACACAUCAUGGACUAAAAUUGGACUUCUUUCUAGACUCACAUCUUUUAUAUAAUAUAUACUCAAGUCUGAUAUGCCUUUUAUUUAUUCUAUAAUUAAGUACAAUCUUUUAAGUUGUUGCUGAAGGAAGAAGACAUGGGGUCAGAAAAAUGUUAAGAUUGACUUGAUGUGUGGUAAGGAACAUCCAGUUGAAAAGUUUUUGAUGCUUGAACAUCCACUACUCAAUUAUUCUUUUAGGUAUGCAUAAUCUGCCAAGUUAUAAGCAGUUCCUUUUAUUUGGGCAGGCAUAAUGACCGUUUCGUAGCAUCAGGUUCAAAAAAAAGUUCUUCAAGUUGUGAAGAGGAGUUCCUGAUUAUAGCUGAAUAUACCAGCCUACUUGCCUACAACCAAGGCAUAAUUAUCAGCGUGUAUGCGAAACAGCCUGCUAGCUGGGUGUGUGCCCCUGUUUGAGCGAGAGGGAGGACCUUUGGUGGGAAGUUAAAGGAUGUGCUCGGAUAUGGUGGUCCAACUGCAAGGAACCAAUCACCCAGAUUCCUUUCCUAGACUGAUGCAGAUGGAGCUUGCAAUCAGAUCCAAAGACUAAUGAAGCUGGGGCUGUCAAACUGACCAAAGCAGGUAGCCACAUCUUAGUCUUGAAAAUUUGCAUAUGGAUGUGGGAGUCCACUCAUAUGUAUGGCUUCCAUGUACACUUUGAAUGGUCCAGGAACAUUUGUAUUUUUCUGUGUGUUGAUUUUUUUCCAAGAGUAUUUGCUUUGUGUCUGUAGACAUUAGGUUAGUUGUCAAGUUGGUAAUUAGAGGAUUAGAUCACUGUAUCAAUCGACAAUCAUCUCGGGAAAGUAUCAUCGUACUUUUGUUAGAUAAUUGGUACUUAUGUAGUUGCAUGUUUUUAUACUUAUAUAUACUUGUAGCCACUUUUAUUG